UGCAGUGGCCUGGGUGGCACGUCCACACCGUCUGCACAUGGUCCCCUGAGCUGAGGUGGCAGGCACAGCCAUUUCGCCCUAGGAACUCUGGUGUGAAGUGCUGAGGGCCAGACCUCUAUACUGGUACCGUGUGAGCAAAUGAAACUAGAUGAAGCACAAAGGAAAAGGAAAAAACAGGACAUUUCAAGUAGUAUUUCGGUGCCAAUUGAGACAUCACUUUGAAAGGAAGCAUUAAGAGGUUGAAGAAAAAAGAACUGAAUAUUUUAAGAAUUGAUGUGAUGAGCUCUUUAAAAGUCAGAAACUGUUUGUUGCACAUCUUUAAACUACACAUGGAACAGCUAUUGGUGCAUCUUACAGGAAUAUGACUGAAAUUUUCUGUUAGAAGAUGAAACCCGUGGAGCAGAGCUGAUCAGCCAGUAGCCAGCUGAACCCGACAGACUCAUGAAGUAAAUUGAUUGGCCAUAGAGUUUGGGGAGAAUUUAUGCAGUCCUUUUGUGGCCAUAGAUAACCAACAAAAAGGCUAAUCAUGGAAUGCUUACUAUGUGCUGGGUGAAGUUCCUGGAGAUUUUCAUGUAUUGUAUCAUUAAUCUUCACGACAACUUACUAAUAUAGUAGUAAUUCCACUUUACAGAUGAAAAAAACUGAGGCACAAUGAAGUUAAGAAACUUUGGUGCAGAAGAGCCAGGCUCAAAGAGAAGCAGUCUUAUUUCAGAGCAUUUUUUACCACCAUGCCUUAAUCUUGGUCUUUACUAUUCUGCUCAUCAUGUGCACAAUAUAAAUCAGUAUUUG
Non-coding RNA from Sus scrofa (pig), 789 nucleotides. The record is from RefSeq and is a predicted model, not a curated record. Lineage: Eukaryota; Metazoa; Chordata; Mammalia; Artiodactyla; Suidae.